UGGCGGACGGGUGAGUAACGCGUGGGCAACCUGCCUUACACAGGGGGAUAACACUUAGAAAUAGGUGCUAAAACCGCAUAAGCGCACAGCUUCGCAUGAAGCGGUGUGAAAAACUCCGGUGGUGUAAGAUGGACCCGCGUCUGAUUAGCUUGUUGGCGGGGUAACGGCCCACCAAGGCGACGAUCAGUAGCCGGCCUGAGAGGGCGGACGGCCACAUUGGGACUGAGACACGGCCCAGACCCCUACGGAAGGCAGCAG
RNAcentral lists this ribosomal RNA (258 nucleotides) under uncultured bacterium. RNAcentral describes it as "partial 16S ribosomal RNA". It matches the Rfam family "Bacterial small subunit ribosomal RNA", at positions 96 to 354 of the family's 1533-position model. The record is from RNAcentral.